CGUUGGUGUUUUUAAAGUACCACUAUCCAACACCUGUUCGAAUUAUAAUCCUGAUUUUGAUUAUUCUUAUUCCACUUCCAAUCUAUCAAUCAUCUCAUUAUAUUUGGAAGAAGAACCCUUGAUUCCUUUUCACCUUCAUUUCUCUUCCAAAUCACCGUCGUUAAUUUGUUGUACUUAAUUUGGUGGCUAUAUUACAGACAUCAAUCGAGGAAGCUACAAAACAUGAUAGAGACAGAUCUGGUCUUUUAUUUUUACUAGAAAAGAUGCACGUUGAACUGGAGUAUUGUGUUCAGAUUAGCUAUGCAGCUGCAAUAAUAACAAGAAUCUUACAUCCACAUGUCUUUCAUUUUAUGAUCUAUUAGAGGUAUGGCAUUAUCUUAAACUGUCUCAUAAAAGAGAAAGGAAGGUUGAUUACCUGUAUUCAAAUGUAAUCAUGCAUAAUCUCACUAGGUAGUUGGAGAGUUGAGUUUACUGGAAGAAAAUAACAACAUAAUUAAAAAGGGGUCAUUUUGAUUAUAACACAAAUAUUAGGGAUCUUGUAGAGCUAGAAAAAUGAUAGAUGCCUCUUGGCCGCCUGAUAAGCUUUAUGUCGACAUAACCAAGGUUGUCAAUCUAUCAAGUCAACUCAAUUCUACAAUUCUAUGUAAGAAAAAUGAGUUUUCUCACUUUCAAUCUUGUUUCAUGUUAGAAUCAGGAAGAGUCAUCCUUCAAACUCUUACGAGUUUACUAAUUCAGUCUACGGACGCUUCACGAGUUUAUAAACAAAAACAUGAAUACCCCAUUUUUUUUUUCUCAUUAUUGUAUUCUUGAUUUUUCUUGGCUUUGUGACACUACUCAACCAAUUUAACAUUAUCAUCUCUACGCGAGCUAACUUUUUUGUCGAUUAGUUGUCGUCCUACUUUGAAUCUCAUAUAUCAUUUUAGGUCCUAUAACUAUGCAGUUAAGUGCAUUAUUAGAAUACAUGAACAAUAUCUCAUAAUAUCGAAGGUGUAUCUUAGAGUAAUUUAGACAAUUUAGAUAGAACUGUUUUCCAUAUAUCCUCAUACUUAUGUAAUGAAAAUAAAGUUUUGUGCAAGUAUUAAUAAGGAUUAUCCUGACAUUUGAAAUAACAUCAAUAUAUCAUUUACAUUAAUAUCUCGUAGAAUUUGCGUUGGGCCUAACCCAACCCUAAAAAACCGGCUUGUAAGGUGAGGACUGCCUUUACUUAUAAACCUAUAUCCUGAUGUCCAUGCCUUAUCUCAUCCAAUUUGGGACUCUUAACACACCCCCUCGCGUCCAACACUAUUGAGCUUGGUGCAUGGAUAUAAAUGGUGGGUGGUACUGUAGAGGAAACCUAAUAGAAGGUGGCCCAAUGGAUUUUGAGUUGGGCCUAACUCAACUCUACAAAACCGGCUUGUAAGGAGAGGACUGCCUCUACAUAUAAAUCCAUGUUCAAGGCUUAUCUCAUCCAAUGAUGGUACUCUUAACAAUAUCAAUAUAGUAAUUCAAAAAAAAAAAAAAACUAUCAAUAUAGUUUUAUCGUUCCAAGUGUCAGAAGAUUGGAAAUUAUCUUAUAAUAUCUUGAUAUUAUCCUAGAGUAUCUUGUAGGAUUAGUUUCUUAUCUUAGAAUAUCUCUUAAGAUUAGUUUUAUAUUUUUUUGCUUUAUCAUGAUUUGUUUCCCUAUAAAAAAGAGUUGAUGUUUAGUCUUUUUGUAUCAAAUAAUAAUAAUAAUAAUCAUUCUAAACCAUAUUCGUAAUACAAAGUCUUAGGUCCGUUUGAUUUGUAAAAGAUAAGUACUACAUAGGACAAAACAAUACAUGACAAAGUUUUAAGGUAUUGAACAACUUCUUGUCUUGUAUGAUGUUUUGUGGACAAAAGAUUAUUUUGUUGUUUUAAACAACUUAUAUCUGGGACAAAAAGUUGUCUUGUGGUUUUUUUUUUUUUUUUUGAUAAGCAAGUUGUCUUGUGGUUUAGUGAGGCACAUAAAUAUUUUUGUCCAGUCCCUUACCCCCAAUUUGUCUAGUCCCAUAAAUAGUUUUAAAAUCAAACAUUGUACAACUGAAUUUGUCUUAUCCCUCAUUUUUAGCAGAUCAAAUGCACACUUUAAUUUUUCUCUUUCUGCUUAUCUAAUACCCUAGAACUUCAACUAGUAUAACUGAGGUAGGACAUUGCCUUCACAUUUCAGCCAUCAAAGCUUUUUGUUUCAGUCGGCAUUUGAAGGCCGCGUGUAACCUUCUUACUGCCUGUUCACCACUUCGCUGGUCAAGUUUGGUUUGUGGGAUUUUCUUUGUUUUUUCAAGGCCACUUUUGUCUUGUGGGUCUAAAUAGAAUUUGGUUUUUCCACUAUUAGUAACUUCUGCGGCACCUCCACAUUAUAUGAUCUACCCUUGCUUCUCUGAUCUGACCUAUGGUUUGAUGUGUUUCUUUGAAAACACUGGUUUCUUCGUCUCAGUUGUGGUUUGACACUGGUUUUGUCUCAGUUGUGGUUUGGCACUGGUUUUGUCUCAGUUGUAGUUUGGCAUUCAUUUUGUCUUAAGACACAAGUUAUCCUGUCCCAAUUGUGAUUUAGUCCCAACUUCCCAAUUCAAUGUAAAUUAUAUUAUUUGGUUAUUUUUCUCUUUUGUAAUAUAACAAACUUAUGAAACUUGAGCUGGAGUGUUAAAUGAUUGGAAUAUAUCUUACAAUAUGUUAAUAUCAUUUUAGAUUAUCUUGUAGGAUAAGUUUUUUACAUUAGAGGAGCUUUGAAUAUCUCUCAGGAGCAGUUUCCAUAGUUCUUUGUUUUUAUCUUGUUUUGCUUUACGGAUACAUAUACUAGGAGUAUUAUCCAUGUAUGAUAUCAGAUAUGGGUACAACACAGUGGGCUUUAUAGGCAACACCUAGUGUAUAACAAAAUCAUUAUAUGGUUAUGCAAAUGUUGGGUUUGUUUUGGGAUUUGGUUUUCUGUCAACUAAAAAUGAAACUUAUUAAACUGGUGUAUAGAGGCAUACUUCUUGAUUGUUGGAAAAAAGAGUUCUACAAGCCUUCUAGAUACUUUAUUUGCAAAUUCAGAGAAAUGUAAUGUAAGCCAAAAAUUGUGUUCUCCAGCUGGAGAAUUCUCAUAUAGAUUAUAUUUAAUUACAAGCUGACAAGUUGAGUCUCAGCCCAGAAAUUUAGCUAACUAGUAACUAACUACCAUAUAAACCUAUAUCCUAAUUGAGAAGAGAAUGAAAUAACAUUUACACGGUUGUGGUUUAAACCUGAGGUGUCUUAGUUAAGAAAAGAAACAUUUCCUAUUGUCACUUUUAUUCACAAAACUACCACUCUGUUUUCUCCUGCUUUGUUGUUUUAAAGUAUUUGUGAAGGAGGCAGUGAAAACAAUUUUCACUUUUAUUUACAAUUUUGCUUUCAAAUAUUUGGUAAAAGGAAACAAAGUUAAAAAGGUGUCUGUUUUGCAAAUAAAUGCCAACACAGAAAAUGAAGGGUCUGUUUGUUUUGGAUUUUUUUAAGAAAAAAUCUAUUUUAUCAUUUUGAUAAUGUUUGUUAUAGAUUUUUUAGAAAAUCAUUCUGUAAAAAAAAUCAUUUUUAACCUCAAAAUGAAAAGUUAAUCCUAAUAGCUUUUCAAGAAUCUAUUUUUUUUUUAAAAUUAAGGAACCUAAGUGUAGGAGCUUCCCAUUUUAAAAAAAAAAGAAGAUUUUUUUGACAGUAAACAAACGUAAAGUAGCUUUAGUGUUUUUUUUUUUUUUUUUUUAAAUCUCCAUAAAUGAAUAUCUAGAUUUUUUCAAAACAAAAUCAUUUUUUUAAAGCUUAAUCAAAGGAACCCGAAAUCAUUUUUUAAAAACAAAUAGACCCUUGUAACUUGCAGCGAUGUUUUAGAUUUACCCAAAUCUGUAAUUACUCCCCUAGUUCUGCUUUCUAUCAUUUCAUUUUCUUGCAACAUGGCUUUUAGCAAAUGGAACACUUAAGAUGGUAGGCAGGAGAGGAGGGCCAGUGAACUGUGGUUUGGUAAAAAUCUUCUUUAAAGAUGAAGCAGAGGGCUUAUGAUGAGAGUUUUCUCAGAUAUCGAAACACUGAUAGCAACUGGUACAAAAAUAGGAUUCAUAACUAAAUAACAAUUAAUUUAUUGAAUUAUUCUCUGGGGAAGAGUUUCAAAUCAGAGACAGUAGUACACAGUUAAACACACUUGCACAAAAUUGAAAUUACACAGGACAAGCUAACACAGUCACAGUUUCCACAAGGGUUUGAGAGCCUUGUGUCUCUCCUUUUCCAAAUAAUCACACAAUACUCUAGGAUAACCAACUAUGUUCUGUUCUGACUUUUCCGUAUUUAUUCCUAGUACAACAGAAAAUACACACACACACACAUACACACUAGAAAGUAACUGCUCAUAAAUAGUUACUUACUGACACAGAAAUUGAUACAAAAACUGCCAAGUCAGUUUUGGUUUCCCUUCCUUACAUAGUAUUUUUUAAUGAGAGGUCCAACACACUGCCCAUCUCUCACUAGUAUAAUAUUUAAUAUUGUCCAAAAUCAAUAUGGAUGACCCAGUUCAGUUUGACCCAUGGUCAGGCUUUACUGCUUCCUGGUGGUUUAUUCUACUAAAUAUAUUAUCAAUAGAUCCGUCCCCUCAUGCUGAUAAAUCAUACAAUCAGAUAUUUUUGAAUUCUUAUAGUGGUUGCUCUUGAACCUUGAAGUAUGCUUUAAGACAAAAUUUAUAAUCAUUCUAUAAACAUCAAUGUCCUUUAUUUCAUCCGUGUAAUGUUGAUAACUUGUGCAUUUGCUUUAAAGCCCAUGAACAGCCCUACAAUUACCAUUUUUUUAAAUAUAGACAGGAAUCAUUUGAAUAUUCACGUCACCUAUGAAAAGAUUGGAACUACAGGAAUCAUUUGCUUUCUGUACAUGAUUGGUUCAUAACAAUUUUUGUACUUUAGGAUUGUGGUUUAACAAUUUUUGGGCUACAUAGAUUGGUUCAUAACAAAUCGAAUUUUACUCAUUAUAGGCUUCCUUGUGUAAAAUCUUUAUAUUUUGCCUUCACUGGCCUUCACGGUUCACGCACACGAACUUUGCUUUUCUGAUGAAUUUGAUCUUUAUAGUAAUCCAGGGUUGACCUGUGAGAGUAUAGGCCUAGACUUUGAUAGCCCACCAAAUUGUUCUAUUGCACACCUGAUGCAUCCACAAGAAAAGCAACUUUAUUGUUAUUAUUGGCAAUCUCAUACUAAUUUUAUGUAUAAAAAAUUUGUAAAAUAAUAAGUGCUAUAACAUACCUUUCCACUGUUUUUCCAGUUGUAUUGUUGAUACUGUUAUUUAUUUUAGCCAUUUGAUGUGAUACUGUUGAUGGCCACCCUUUUCAUUAGGUAAGUGUUUUCACUUACUGGCAUAUACUGUUGCUCUUGUGACUUUUCACUAGUGUGAUAGUGAGACCACGGGGAUUGUGCCACAUGACAUGUGGCUAUGUGAUUAACGUUAUACCUUUGAUCGUCAAUAUGUAGGGUUUAGGGCGAAUAUGAAAUGCUGCAACUUUGCUUAGACAUAAUUGUGUGCUAUCAGUCAGUGAUGUCACCCUACAGCUGAGUUCUCUUCCAAAUGGAAUGAGGACUUCCUGGAUUAGUCAAGAAUGAUUGUUUCUACACAACCAUUUGUGCGUUCUCAAACAUAUGGAGACAGUGCCCAUAUACAUGGUAACUUUUUCCUUGUGUAUUUGUGAUGUCAGCUGCGAUAUGCAUACUAAUAAAUGAUUGAAAUUUUGAUCAGAAUAUCAGAUGCUUUAACUAUGUAUAUACUUUUUUGGGUGUGCUUCUAAACAUGAAGUUUUUCCUAUUCCUGGUAGAUAACUUUCUGUUUCUGCUGAAUGUGUGUUAGAUAUAUCCGGAGGAGGCCUAAAUGUAAGUUGUCUACUCCUAUAUUUAUGUUGUAGCAUUAUAUACCUGGCUGAUCAAUACAAGAUUAUUGAGUCACAUUCAGGGAUAUCUCUGUUCCCACGUUAUUGUUUGGCAAUUCAUAUGUAUAAUUCAUUAUGAAGAAUCGCAAGUCAUGCUUAUCGUUUGAGAGGAAUAGAAUAAUUAUCGUGACAGUAUGAACUACACAUGUAUAGGCAGGCACAAAGUAGUUAUGUUCCAAAUUCCAUUAAAUUGAUCAUGAGAGAUGUAGAAAUUAUAUAAAACAACACAAGGCACAAUCAUUGAUAUCUUUAUUUCAUAAAAUUUACAGAGGCAAUCAUUAUGUCUGAUCCUUAAUAGCAAUUGUAAGCUUCUUGAUAGGAAAUAUCAUACUCUAUUCUGUUGAAUUGAACAAUGUGGUUGUUGAACUACAAGAUCCCACACAUAUCAGCAUGAUUAUAUGUUUGAACUGGUUCGUGACAACUUUUCAGAAUUGAAAGCAUAGGUGAUUAUCGAACAGUUCUUGCUAAUGCAGCUGUAAUCUGGUUCAGAAUUUAGGCGUUUAGUUUUUGAAGAAAUUAGAAAGAAAAGGUGUACACUGAAGCUAUAUGUUGUACAUCAUCAGUUUAAGGGAAUACCCUAAUUUCAUGGCUUUGGCUGCUGGUUCACUGUAUUGAGGCUGUGGCUGGCUUAGCUGGAGACUGAUAGGUGCAUGUAAAUCAAAUCCGUUUCUGAUAGUGCAUGAAAGAUUGCUUUUUGCAUUUUCUUCAUUUGUACUCCUUGCUUCAUAAACCUAAUAUCCAAAUCUUUUGUUUAGGUUUAGCACAAGUUAACUUGAAGCUUUUUAGCUUCUAGAUGUAGUAGUAUUUGGCCUAAUGAAAAACAUGUUGUGCAGA
Long non-coding RNA from Trifolium pratense (red clover), 6727 nucleotides. RefSeq lists it as uncharacterized. The record is from RefSeq and is a predicted model, not a curated record. Lineage: Eukaryota; Viridiplantae; Streptophyta; Magnoliopsida; Fabales; Fabaceae. The transcript has 4 exons.